This 71-nucleotide transfer RNA is filed under the name Phrynosoma platyrhinos (Desert horned lizard). Its description in RNAcentral is "tRNA-OTHER". Lineage: Eukaryota; Metazoa; Chordata; Lepidosauria; Squamata; Phrynosomatidae. The record is from RNAcentral.
GCUAGCAUAGUGUAGUGGUUUGACCACUGGACUAUGACUCUGGAGACCAGGGUUCAAAUCCCAGCUCAGCC